AUGCAUUCCACCAAUCUGCUCCUCGAGGAGCCCAUCCGGAUGGUCUCCAUCCUCGAGCCAUCCAAGCCGAACUUCUUCCCGGCGAUGACGAAGAUCGUGGGGACGCUGGGUCCCAAGUCCCGGUCCGUUGAGGCCAUCUCCGCCUGUCUAAAGGCCGGCAUGUCUGUGGCCCGUUUCGAUUUCUCGUGGGGGGAUGCCGCGUACCACCAGGAGACACUCGAGAACCUCAAGCUCGCCAUCAAGGCCACCAAGAAGCUAUGUGCUGUUAUGCUCGACACUGUUGGCCCUGAGUUGCAAGUGGUGAACAAGAGUGAAGUCACAAUCUCGCUUGAAGAGAACGAGUCUGUUGUUCUCACCCCUCACCAGGGCCAGGAGGCCUCUUCCAAGUUGCUCCCUAUCAACUUCGCUGGACUCGCCAAGGCUGUGAAGCCCGGAGCCACAAUAUUCGUUGGGCAAUAUUUGUUCACGGGCAGUGAGACUACAUCAGUUUGGCUGGAGGUUUCUGAAGUUCAAGGGGAUGACGUGGUUUGCGUGAUCAAGAACUCAGCUACCCUGGCUGGGUCACUCUUCACAUUGCACUGCUCCCAGAUCCAUAUCGACAUGCCCACGCUGUCUGAUGAGGAUAAAGAUGUUAUGAAAAAAUGGGGUGCUCCAAACAAGAUUGACUUCCUCUCUCUUUCUUAUACAAGGCACGCAGAAGAUGUGCGGCAAGCACGGGAGUUCCUCUCUAAGUUAGGUGAUCUUAGCCAAACUCUGAUUUUUGCCAAAAUUGAGAAUGUGGAGGGCUUGAACCAUUUUGAUGAGAUCCUGGAGGAAGCGGAUGGUAUCAUUCUCUCAAGAGGGAACCUUGGAAUUGAUCUUCCACCUGAAAAGGUGUUCUUAUUUCAGAAGUCUGCUCUGCACAAGUGCAACAUGGCUGGAAAGCCUGCUGUUGUUACUCGUGUUGUGGACAGUAUGACGGACAACCUAAGGCCUACUCGUGCGGAGGCAACUGAUGUGGCAAAUGCGGUGCUGGAUGGUAGUGAUGCCAUUCUCCUUGGUGCCGAGACUCUCCGUGGGUUGUAUCCAGUUGAGACUAUUUCAACAGUGGGCAGAAUUUGUGCUGAGGCUGAGAAGGUCUUCAACCAAGAUUUGUACUUUAAGCGAACUGUGAAAUAUGUGGGAGAACCCAUGACCCACUUGGAGUCUAUUGCUUCCUCUGCAGUGCGGGCUGCUAUUAAAGUUAAGGCUUCGGUCAUCAUUUGCUUCACCUCAUCUGGACGGGCUGCAAGGCUAAUUGCCAAGUACAGGCCCACCAUGCCUGUCCUCUCUGUUGUCAUUCCUCGUCUGAAAACAAAUCAAUUGAAGUGGAGCUUCACAGGUGCAUUUGAGGCAAGACAAUCACUCAUAGUUAGAGGUCUCUUUCCCAUGCUUGCCGAUCCACGUCAUCCGGCUGAAUCUACUAGCACUACAAAUGAAUCAGUGUUGAAGGUUGCUCUUGACCACGGCAAAGCAUCUGGUGUGAUCAAGUCGCAUGACCGCGUCGUCGUGUGCCAGAAAGUGGGAGAUUCCUCUGUCGUGAAGAUCAUUGAGCUGGACGACUAG
RNAcentral lists this ribosomal RNA (1584 nucleotides) under Triticum aestivum (bread wheat). Its description in RNAcentral is "partial small subunit ribosomal RNA". The record is from RNAcentral. Lineage: Eukaryota; Viridiplantae; Streptophyta; Magnoliopsida; Poales; Poaceae.